RNAcentral lists this transfer RNA (84 nucleotides) under Sphaerochaeta sp. PS. RNAcentral's name for it is "tRNA-Leu". It matches the Rfam family "tRNA". Rfam says of the family: Transfer RNA (tRNA) molecules are approximately 80 nucleotides in length. Their secondary structure includes four short double-helical elements and three loops (D, anti-codon, and T loops). Further hydrogen bonds mediate the characteristic L-shaped molecular structure. tRNAs have two regions of fundamental functional importance: the anti-codon, which is responsible for specific mRNA codon recognition, and the 3' end, to which the tRNAs corresponding amino acid is attached (by aminoacyl-tRNA synthetases). tRNAs cope with the degeneracy of the genetic code in two manners: having more than one tRNA (with a specific anti-codon) for a particular amino acid; and 'wobble' base-pairing, i.e. permitting non-standard base-pairing at the 3rd anti-codon position. Lineage: Bacteria; Pseudomonadati; Spirochaetota; Spirochaetia; Spirochaetales; Sphaerochaetaceae. The record is from RNAcentral.
GCCGAAGUGGUGGAAUAGGUAGACACAAGGGACUUAAAAUCCCUUGCUCUUAUGGGCGUGCGGGUUCAAGUCCCGCCUUCGGCA